AACGAACGCUGGCGGCAUGCCUAACACAUGCAAGUCGAACGCGUGUAGCAAUACACGAGUGGCGGACGGGUGAGUAACGCGUGGGAACCUGCCCAGUGGUAGGGAAUAACUGCGGGAAACUGCAGCUAAUACCCUAUACGCCCUUUGGGGAAGGAUUCAUCGCCAUUGGAGGGGCCCGCGUCGGAUUAGCUAGUUGGCGGGGUAACGGCCCACCAAGGCAACCGAUCCGUAGCUGGUCNGAGAGGAUGAUCAGCCACACUGGGACUGAAACACGGGCCAUACUCCUACGGGAGGCAGCAGUGGGGAAUCUUGCGCAAUGGGCGAAAGCCUGACGCAGCAACGCCGCGU
Molecule: ribosomal RNA, 348 nt
Filed under: uncultured bacterium
Lineage: Bacteria
Description: bacterial SSU rRNA
Rfam family: Bacterial small subunit ribosomal RNA
Source: RNAcentral